Molecule: ribosomal RNA, 400 nt
Filed under: uncultured bacterium
Lineage: Bacteria
Description: bacterial SSU rRNA
Rfam family: Bacterial small subunit ribosomal RNA
Source: RNAcentral
AAUUUUGCGCAAUGGGCGAAAGCCUGACGCAGCAACGCCGCGUGAACGAUGAAGCCCUUCGGGGUGUAAAGUUCUGUCAGUGGGGACGAAACUUGACGGUACCCACAGAGGAAGCACCGGCUAACUCCGUGCCAGCAGCCGCGGUAAUACGGAGGGUGCAAGCGUUGUCCGGAAUCAUUGGGCGUAAAGCGUUCGUAGGCGGCAUACCAAGUCUGGUGUUAAAUCCCGGGGCUCAACUCCGGUCCGGCACUGGAUACUGGUAAGCUAGAAUGUGGUAGAGGUGAAGGGAAUUCCUGGUGUAGCGGUGAAAUGCGUAGAUAUCAGGAGGAACACCGGUGGCGUAAGCGCUUCACUGGACCAUAAUUGACGCUGAGGAACGAAAGCCGGGGGAGCAAAUGGG